This 78-nucleotide transfer RNA is filed under the name Podarcis lilfordi (Lilford's wall lizard). RNAcentral's name for it is "tRNA.Lys". The stretch from base 13 to 70 matches the Rfam family "tRNA", at positions 8 to 63 of the family's 71-position model. From Rfam's summary of the family: Transfer RNA (tRNA) molecules are approximately 80 nucleotides in length. The record is from RNAcentral. Lineage: Eukaryota; Metazoa; Chordata; Lepidosauria; Squamata; Lacertidae.
GCCAUACUGGGAUAGCUCAGUUGGUAGAGCAUGAGAUUCUUAAUCUGAAGGCUGUGGGUUCAAGUCCCAUGUUGGGCA